Molecule: ribosomal RNA, 411 nt
Filed under: uncultured bacterium
Lineage: Bacteria
Description: bacterial SSU rRNA
Rfam family: Bacterial small subunit ribosomal RNA
Source: RNAcentral
AAUCAACGCUGGCGGCGUGCCUCAGACAUGCAAGUCGAACGAUUAAACUUUCCUUCGGGAAGAUAUAGAGUGGCGCACGGGUGAGUAACACGUAAGUAAUCUACCCUUGGGUGGGAGUAACAUCGGGAAACCGAUGCUAAUACCGCAUAAUGCAGCGGCUUCUUAUGAAGACAGUUGUUAAAGCAUUUAUGUGCCUGAGGAGGAGCUUGCGGCAGAUUAGCUAGUUGGUAAGGUAAUGGCUUACCAAGGCGACGAUCUGUAGCCGACCUGAGAGGGUGGUCGGUCACACUGACACUGAAUAACGGGUCAGACUCCUACGGGAGGCAGCAGUCGGGAAUUUUGGGCAAUGGCGCAAGCCUGACCCAGCAACGCCGCGUGAAGGAUGAAGUAUUUCGGUAUGUAAACUUACGU